Molecule: transfer RNA, 82 nt
Filed under: Elusimicrobiota bacterium
Lineage: Bacteria; Pseudomonadati; Elusimicrobiota
Description: Elusimicrobia bacterium (hydrocarbon metagenome) tRNA-Leu
Rfam family: tRNA
About the family: Transfer RNA (tRNA) molecules are approximately 80 nucleotides in length. Their secondary structure includes four short double-helical elements and three loops (D, anti-codon, and T loops). Further hydrogen bonds mediate the characteristic L-shaped molecular structure. tRNAs have two regions of fundamental functional importance: the anti-codon, which is responsible for specific mRNA codon recognition, and the 3' end, to which the tRNAs corresponding amino acid is attached (by aminoacyl-tRNA synthetases). tRNAs cope with the degeneracy of the genetic code in two manners: having more than one tRNA (with a specific anti-codon) for a particular amino acid; and 'wobble' base-pairing, i.e. permitting non-standard base-pairing at the 3rd anti-codon position.
Source: RNAcentral
GCUGGGGUGGCGGAAUUGGCAUACGCGCACGUUUGAGGGGCGUGUCUCGCAAGGGAUGCGGGUUCAAGUCCCGCCCCCAGCA